RNAcentral lists this ribosomal RNA (640 nucleotides) under Amanita manginiana. RNAcentral's name for it is "LSU rRNA". It matches the Rfam family "Eukaryotic large subunit ribosomal RNA", at positions 43 to 662 of the family's 3401-position model. The record is from RNAcentral. Lineage: Eukaryota; Fungi; Basidiomycota; Agaricomycetes; Agaricales; Amanitaceae.
UCAAUAAGCGGAGGAAAAGAAACUAACAAGGAUUCCCCUAGUAACUGCGAGUGAAGCGGGAAAAGCUCAAAUUUAAAAUCUGGCGGUGGUUAGCCGUCCGAAUUGUAGCCUAGAGAAGUGUUGCCUGUGCUGAACCAUGUAUAAGUCUCCUGGGAUGGAGCGUCAGAGAGGGUGAGAAUCCCGUGUUUGACAUGGACUAGCAGUGCAUUGUGGUACGCUCUCAAAGAGUUGAGUUGUUUGGGAAUGCAGCUCUAAAUGGGUGGUAAAUUCCAUCUAAAGCUAAAUAUUGGCGAGAGACCGAUAGCGAACAAGUACCGUGAGGGAAAGAUGAAAAGAACUUUGGAAAGAGAGUUAAACAGUAUGUGAAAUUGUUGAAAGGGAAACGCUUGAAGUCAGUGGCAUUGGGUGGGGAUCAAUGCAGCUCUUUUGCUGGAUGUAAUUCCUAGUCGAUGGGCCAACAUGAGUUCUGACUGCUGGAGAAAGGCGAGGUGAAUGUGGCACUUUUAAGUGUGUUUAUAGCACCUGGUUGUAUGCAGUGGUUGGGACUGAGGAAAAGCAGCGCGCCACUUGGCAGGGUUUCGACCACAUUCGCGCUUAGGAUGUUGGCAAUAAUGGCUUUAAGCGACCCGUCUUGAAACAC